AUUGAACGCUGGCGGCAGGCUUAACACAUGCAAGUCGAGCGGGGUGAUGGUGGUUGCACUAUCACUUAGCGGCGGACGGGUGAGUAAUGCUUAGGAAUCUGCCCAUUAGUGGGGGACAACAUCUCGAAAGGGAUGCUAAUACCGCAUACGUCCUACGGGAGAAAGCAGGGGAUCACUUGUGACCUUGCGCUAAUAGAUGAGCCUAAGUCGGAUUAGCUAGUUGGUGGGGUAAAGGCCUACCAAGGCGACGAUCUGUAGCGGGUCUGAGAGGAUGAUAGGCCAAACUGGGACUGGGACACGGCCCAGACUCCUACGGGAGGCAGAAGUGGGGAAUAUUGGACAAUGGGGGGAACGCUGAUCCAGCCAUGCCGCGUGUGUGAAGAAGGCCUUAUGGUUGUAAAGCACUUUAAGCGAGGAGGAGGCUCUUUUGGUUAAUACCCAAGAUGAGUGGACGUUACUCGCAGAAUAAGCACCGGCUAACUCUGUGCCAGCCGCCGCAGUAA
RNAcentral lists this ribosomal RNA (503 nucleotides) under uncultured bacterium. RNAcentral describes it as "partial 16S ribosomal RNA". It matches the Rfam family "Bacterial small subunit ribosomal RNA", at positions 30 to 523 of the family's 1533-position model. The record is from RNAcentral.